RNAcentral lists this unclassified non-coding RNA (247 nucleotides) under Hevea brasiliensis (rubber tree). Lineage: Eukaryota; Viridiplantae; Streptophyta; Magnoliopsida; Malpighiales; Euphorbiaceae. The record is from RNAcentral.
AUGUGAUGGGCUCUUGCAAUUUCAGUUUCUUCCUAUCGUUGCUGCAUCUGCAGUUGAGCAGAUGCGGGUUUCUCGGGGUCCAGUGGUUGAUCGUUUUUUGUUCCAGUCACAGAAUUUUACAUCUGGAGAAGGAGACUUCAAGUCGGAAGGCAUACCUGAACUUGAAACUUCUAGAGAUGGGGCCUCCUGUUUGUAUUCUCGUGCCCAGAAGCUUACAAGUCUUUGUGGGUGGGAACCAAGAUGGCUC